AUUUAAUGAUCAUGCUCAUUCAAGGAAUCCUUUAGAAUCUUCUUCAGAUUCAAAUAUCAAAGAUGAAGACAUUGAAAAGGCAAUAGAUGCUAAUAUGUACACAUGUACUGAUGAAACAGAAACAGAAGUUGAAUUUGUAGCAGAUCUUGGAUUACGUGAUAGACCUGAUAAAGAUUUCAAAUUUGUACCCCUCCAGAAUAAUGACAAACAGAACAUUUGUUCAAAACUGAAUAUCAGAUAUAUAGGCAAAGGCUGUGAUUCAAGGUUAGAUAGAAAUAGCUCUAUUGGAGUUCCUUUACAGAGUAAACAAAUUACUGGUGAUGGCAAUUGUUUCUUUCGUGCAAUUUCCUAUGUAAUUUCUGGAACUGAGCAUAAUCAUGCAAUUUUAAGAAAUGCCACUGUGAAACAUUUAUUGCAAACCAAGGACAUGUUUAGUAAUACAUUGAGGCAAGAAUAUAGAACAGUCAGAGAAUAUGUUUUGAAACGUAGAAUAAAGGAAGACGGAACGUGGGCUACAGACACUGAAAUUAGCGCUUUAGCAAAUUUAAUCGAUACUGAUAUUUAUUCAUACAAUGACCAAGUACCAUGUUGGCAAUUGUUCUCUGCAAAGAAACCUGGAAGAAUAAAUAUUGUAACAUCUGAUAAGGGAAUUUAUAUACUGUACACAGGAAAUGUUCAUUUUAAUGUUGUUGAAUCUGUAGAUUUUGUCAAUUUCAAUUCAUUGGAACAGACAAGAACAACUAAAGAAGAUAGAACGUCAAAGAGAACUUUGCCAUGUCCAUCAAUUCAGGCUGAUGUUAAAGUAAAGCAUGUGUUCAAGAAGUGUAGAUCCAAGUCGCAGAUAGAGGAAGAAAUUGAUGAAGUAGUGGAUAAGUCUCCUGAAACAUUUCAAAACCAUGUUGAUCCAAAGGGAAAAAAACGUAGGCUCACGUUGGAGACUGGUACGAUAAAUCACGAUGAGAGGAAAGGUACUGCAAAUCUUUUUGACAUGACAUAUGAACAGUGUGCAAGUAAUCAGUCUGAAUCAGUCGUUCACAACGAACGUAACACCAAGGACGAAACCCUUAAAAGUGAUCACAAAGACAAAUGCACGAGAGUCGAUACACAAAUAACGCUUGUUGCCCAAGGGACAUUCAAUCAAGGUGAUACAAGAUUUGGUGACUUAAGUGGAAAGCAGUGUGUUACCAAUUCACUUUCUGCACUGUUGUAUAGCAAGAAGCAGUCGAGGUUUCCUGAGUUGUAACGGACACAGUGUUGUACUUCGUACUCAAAGCUGGCAAGGUGUGUACAAGCAUUGCAUGAGAUAACUGCUUCAGAUGACUGCAAAGCGCAACGUUGCAAAGCUCAUUUCUACAACCCUAGUCAUCAAUGACAGUGCACCACCAUAUCCCUUUGCUCACCAGUUGAAACAAACUACCGCCCUCGAGUCAGAAGGCUGUCCUCAUCAUCCAACACACAGCGGUAACAUCACCCAAGGACUUCAGCCCUCCGGUGAUACCUGGUUCAGCAAAGACUAGGCCUUGGGGAGUGUUUACGGCUCUGUCAUCAUAACAGCAUUGUGGCAGAAGUAUGGAACACCAGCAUAUACAGGAUAACUUCUUCAGAUGACUGCAAAGCGCAACAUUGCAAAGCUCACUUCUACAACCCUAGUCACCAAUGACCGUGCACCACCAUACCCCUUUGCUCACCAGUUCAAACAAACUACCGCCCUCGAGUCAGAAGGCUGUCCUCAUCGUCCAACACACAGCGGUAACAUCACCCCAGGACUUCAGCCCUCCGGUGAUACCUGGUUCAGCGAAGACUAGGCCUUGGGGAGUGUUUACGGCUUUGUCACCAAAACAGCAUUGUGGCAGAAGUAUGGAACACCAGCAUAUACAUGUAAUGUAUCGGGACCUUUACAGGAUAACUUCUUCAGAUGACUGCAAAGCGCAACGUUGCAAAGCUCAUUUCUACAACCCUAGUCACCAAUGACAGUGCACCACCAUACCCCUUUGCUCACCAGUUCAAACAAACUACCGCCCUCGAGUCAGAAGGCUGUCCUCAUCGUCCAACACACAGCGGUAACAUCACCCCAGGACUUCACCUCUCCGGUGAUACCUGGUUCAGCGAAGACUAGGCCUUGGGGAGUGGUUACGGCUCUGUCAUAACAGCAUUGUGGCAGAAGUAUGGAACACCAGCAUAUACAUGUAAUGUAUCAGGACCUUCACAGGAUGACUGCAAAGCGCAACAUUGCAAAGCUCAUUUCUACAACCCUAGUCACCAAUGACAGUGCACCACCAUAUCCCUUUGUUCACCAGUUCAAACAAACUACCGCCCUCGAGUCAGAAGGCUGUCCUCAUCAUCCAACACACAGCGGUAACAUCACCCAAGGACUUCAGCCCUCCGGUGAUACCUGGUUCAGCAAAGACUAGGCCUUGGGGAGUGUUUACGGCUCUGUCAUCAUAACAGCAUUAUGGCAGAAGUAAGGAACACCAGCAUAUACAGGAUGACUGCAAAGCGCAAUGUUGCAAAGCUCACUUCUACAACCCUAGUCACCAAUGACCGUGCACCACCAUACCCCUUUGCUCACCAGUUCAAACAAACUACCGCCCUCGAUUUAGAAGGCUGUCCUCAUCGUCCAACACACAGCGGUAACAUCACCCCAGGACUUCAGCCCUCCGGUGAUACCUGGUUCAGCGAAGACUAUGCCUUGGGGAGUGUUUACGGCUCUGUCACCAAAACAGCAUUGUGGCAGAAGUAUGGAACACCAGCAUAUACAUGUAAUGUAUCGGGACCUUUACAGGAUAACUUCUUCAGAUGACUGCAAAGCGCAACGUUGCAAAGCUCAUUUCUACAACCCUAGUCACCAAUGACAGUGCACCACCAUAUCCCUUUGCUCACCAGUUGAAACAAACUACCGCCCUCGAGUCAGAAGGCUGUCCUCAUCGUCCAACACACAGCGGUAACAUCACCCCAGGACUUCAGCCCUCCGGUGAUACCUGGUUCAGCGAAGACUAGGCCUUGGGGAGUGUUUACGGCUCUGUCACCAAAACAGCAUUGUGGCAGAAGUAUGGAACACCAGCAUAUACAUGUAAUGUAUCAGGACCUUCACAGGAUAACUUCUUCAGAUGACUGCAAAGCGCAACGUUGCAAAGCUCACUUCUAUCUACAACCCUAGUCACCAAUGACCGUGCACCACCAUAUCCCUUUGCUCACCAGUUCAAACAAACUACCGCCCUCGAGUCAGAAGGCUGUCCUCAUCGUCCAACACACAGCGGUAACAUCACCCCAGGACUUCAGCCCUCCGGUGAUACCUGGUUCAACGAAGACUAGGCCUUGGGGAGUGGUUACGGCUCUGUCAUAAGAGCAUUGUGGCACAAGUAGCCUCGAUCUCGACCAAGACAUUUUGAAUGCCACUCUGUAUGGCUCAGCAUACUUUUUUUUUCUUUAUUCAUACUAACGUGUGUUCAUGUCCAUUUUUCCACCUCUGAUUCUUACAUUUAUUUUCUGAUACCAUGUUUCUGUGUGAUUUUAGUCUUAUUUUUACUGGUAUGACAAUGUAAACAUAUACCUUUGUUCCACACAAGAUAUUUUGGGAUUUUGUGUGCACUUCCAUGUAACUACAUGUAUUUUUAUAUGAUAGUUUUUGUUUCUGAUUGUUCAAUUCCUUUUACGCUCUCAUUCCUUUAUAGUUGUAUCUUAUUUGAGACAGAGGAAGAGAGAGGGUGAAUAGUAGAGAGAGAGGGGGAUGCAGAAACAAAGCGCCAUUUAUGAUGUAUUUUAUUACAUUUGUGUUUUAACUUUGCACAUACAUUGCAAGAUUUUGGGAUUUAACACGUUUAUUUUUCUGUAAGUUUGUAAAUCCUUGUAUUCACACAGUGUUUUGAGUGAUAUAUUGUAAAGAUAGAUCUUAUGCAUGCUCCUUGGGGAAAAGAAGUUAUACAUGCAUGUCACUCUUCUUAUCUUGGCAUUACCGUAAUUCUUAUAUUGGUUGAUGUUGCUGAUAUAUGAAACAGAAUCUGAUGGAUAUCAUUGAUAACAGUUACUGUUUGUCUUCUUUUUAACAUCAGGAUAACAGAUCUUAGUAGUACAGCGAAAGACAAUUCACUGUAAUUUGUUAUAUUGUCAUAUAUUACACGAUUAUGAUUUUCAAUGGCACAUGUUUGUACACUACAAUUUUAUGUCAUUAGAGGUCACAUAUCCAGUUUGUUUCGUGAAUAGUCAAUAUUGGAUUAUGAUUAUAAUGUCAGUUUAUUUGCAACAUUUACCCCAUAUAUAGUGGUAUCUUACGAUCAACUGUCAAUAUCUACUGCAUUCACUAUACAUAGCAGUGUCUUGCUUGCUGUAACAAAGAGGUAUAUAGGGCUGUUAGGGAUUAUCCAUAAUGUACAUUGUUUUUUAGUUUUUAUUGUUAUUGUGUUUAUCUGAACUUAUGUUGUUUAUGUACCUGUUUUAUAUAUGUAUUCCAUUUCUGUUGAAUAUAUAUACAUGUUAAAAUGCCCUUUUCAGAGAUUUGUACAAUGCUGCUCUUUUCAGUAUGUGCUUUUAUUUUGGUAUAUCAAAUUUAAUUGGAUAUGCUGUUUUUAAAAUUUAUUUCUUUUAAAAUGUGUUCGAAGAUGAUAGGUGAUUACCAUUUGUAACAUUGCAUUGCGGUUCUUUUUUAGAUCGCCAAGGAAAUAGCGUGAUGUUAAGUUUGGUGCAGAAUGUCAUUUACAUGCAUGUAGAUAGGUCUAUGCAAUUUAGCUUUGACUUUGGUUAACAAUGAAUAGACCUGUUUACUAAUGUACUUCAUUUUAUGUUUCUCUCUAUAGUACAUGGUAGGGGGUGAAACAAGAAUACAAAGGUUAGAAGGAAAAGUUAAAGAAGAUUGGGGUUCAAUGGCACAUGUUUGUACACUACAAUUUUAUGUCAUUAGAGGUCACAUAUCCAGUUUGUUUUGUGAAUAGUCAAUAUUGGAUUAUGAUUAUAAUGUCAGUUUAUUUGCAACAUUUACCCCAUAUAUAGUGGUACCUUACGAUCAACUGUCAAUAUCUACUGCAUUCACUAUACAUAGCAGUGUCUUGCUUGCUGUAACAAAGAGGUAUAUAGGGCUGUUAGGGAUUAUCCAUAAUGUACAUUGUUUUUUAGUUUUAUUUUUAUUGUGUUUAUCUGAACUUAUAUCUCACUUGCUAUGUAGGGGGCCUUUCAUAUAAUCAGUAGGUAUCUUGUUUAUGUACCUGUUUUAUAUAUGUAUUCCAUUUCUGUUGAAUAUAUAUACAUGUUAAAAUGCCCUUUUUAGAGAUUUGUACAAUGCUGCUCUUUUCAGUAUGUGCUUUUAUUUUGGUAUAUCAAAUUUAAUUGGAUAUGCUGUUUUUAAAAUUUAUUUCUUUUAAAAUGUGUUUGAAGAUGAUAGGUGAUUACCAUUUGUAAUAUUGCAUUGCGGUUCUUUUUUAGAUCGCCAAGGAAAUAGCGUGAUGUUAAGUUUGGUGCAGAAUGUCAUUUACAUGCAUGUAGAUAGGUCUAUGCAAUUUAGCUUUGACUUUGGUUUGAUAAGCUUUGUUUAGUGCUUUGAACAUGAAUUUAACAAUGAAUA
RNA transcript from Strongylocentrotus purpuratus (purple sea urchin), 5551 nucleotides. RefSeq lists it as uncharacterized. Lineage: Eukaryota; Metazoa; Echinodermata; Echinoidea; Camarodonta; Strongylocentrotidae. The transcript is spliced from 9 exons. The record is from RefSeq and is a predicted model, not a curated record.